Molecule: ribosomal RNA, 1349 nt
Filed under: metagenome
Description: bacterial LSU rRNA
Rfam family: Bacterial large subunit ribosomal RNA
Source: RNAcentral
UGAGUACGAGCGGCUACGGCCGCGAAGUGGAUGAUGUCAAGCUUCCAAGAAAAGCCCUAUACCCGUUAAGGCAUGAUGGCCUGUACCCGAAACCGACACAGGUGGGGUGGUAGAGAAUACCGAGGGGCGCGAGGUAACUCUCUCUAAGGAACUCAGCAAAAUGGCCCCGUAACUUCGGGAGAAGGGGUGCCACCGCGAGGUGGUCGCAGUGAAGAGGCCCAGGCGACUGUUUACCAAAAACACAGGUCUCCGCUAAGUCGCAAGACGAUGUAUGGGGGCUGACGCCUGCCCAGUGCCGGAAGGUUAAGGAAGCUGGUCAGCGCAAGCGAAGCUGGCGACUGAAGCCCCGGUGAACGGCGGCCGUAACAAUAACGGUCCUAAGGUAGCGAAAUUCCUUGUCGGGUAAGUUCCGACCCGCACGAAAGGCGUAACGAUCUGGGCGCUGUCUCGGAGAGAGGCUCGGCGAAAUAGAAUUGUCUGUGAAGAUGCGGACUACGUGCACCCGGACAGAAAGACCCUAUGAAGCUUUACUGUAGCUUGGUAUUGUGCUCGGGCUCGGAAUGCGCAGGAUAGGUGGGAGGCUUUGAUCCAUUGCUUGCGGGUGAUGGUGAGCCACUGGUGAGAUACCACUCUUUCCGAGCUAGAGUUCUAACAGCAACCCGUUAUCCGGGUGCUGGACAGUAUCAGGUGGGCAGUUUGACUGGGGCGGUCGCCUCCUAAAAGGUAACGGAGGCGCGCAAAGGUCUGCUCAGGCUGGUUGGAAAUCAGCCGACGAGUGUAAAAGCAGAAGCAGGCUUGACUGUGAGACCUACAAGUCGAACAGGGAGGAAACUCGGCUUUAGUGAUCCGACGGUUCUGCGUGGAAGGGCCGUCGCUCAACGGAUAAAAGUUACUCUAGGGAUAACAGGCUGAUCUCCCCCAAGAGUUCACAUCGACGGGGAGGUUUGGCACCUCGAUGUCGGCUCAUCGCAACCUGGGGCUGAAGUCGGUCCCAAGAGUUGGGCUGUUCGCCCAUUAAAGCGGUACGCGAGCUGGGUUCAGAACGUCGUGAGACAGUUCGGUCCAUAUCCGGUGCACGCGCAGGAAUAUUGAGAGGAUUUCUCCCUAGUACGAGAGGACCGGGAGGAACGCACCUCUGGUGUGCCAGUUAUCGUGCCAACGGUAAACGCUGGGUAGCCAUGUGCGGAGUGGAUAACCGCUGAAAGCAUCUAAGUGGGAAGCCACCUCAAGAUGAGUAUUCCCAUGGCAUAAGCCAGUAAGGUCACGGGAAGAACACCCGUUGAUAGGCUCUACGUGGAAGCGCAGUAAUGUGUGAAGCGGAGGAGUACUAAUAGACCGAGGGCUUGACC